This 464-nucleotide ribosomal RNA is filed under the name uncultured Verrucomicrobiota bacterium. Its description in RNAcentral is "bacterial SSU rRNA". It matches the Rfam family "Bacterial small subunit ribosomal RNA", at positions 338 to 795 of the family's 1533-position model. Lineage: Bacteria; Pseudomonadati; Verrucomicrobiota. The record is from RNAcentral.
CCUACGGGUGGCAGCAGUUUCGAAUCAUUCACAAUGGGCGAAAGCCUGAUGGUGCGACGCCGCGUGAGGGAUGAAGGUCUUCGGAUUGUAAACCUCUGUCACCGGGGAAGAAACGCUUUGAGCUAAUAGUUCAAAGCCUGACUUAACCCGGAGAGGAAGCAGUGGCUAACUCUGUGCCAGCAGCCGCGGUAAUACAGAGACUGCAAGCGUUAUUCGGAUUCACUGGGCGUAAAGGGUGCGCAGGCGGCCGUGUGUGUGAGGCGUGAAAGCCCGGAGCUUAACUCCGGAAUUGCACCUCAAACUACACGGCUAGAGCAUUGGAGAGGGUAGCGGAAUUCACGGUGUAGCAGUGAAAUGCGUAGAUAUCGUGAGGAACACCAGAGGCGAAGGCGGCUACCUGGACAAUUGCUGACGCUCAGGCACGAAAGCGUGGGGAGCAAAAGGGAUUAGAUACCCCUGUAGUC